Molecule: ribosomal RNA, 497 nt
Filed under: uncultured bacterium
Lineage: Bacteria
Description: partial 16S ribosomal RNA
Rfam family: Bacterial small subunit ribosomal RNA
Source: RNAcentral
GAUGAACGCUGGCGGCGUGCCUAAUACAUGCAAGUCGAGCGAACGGACGAGAAGCUUGCUUCUCUGAUGUUAGCGGCGGACGGGUGAGUAACACGUGGAUAACCUACCUAUAAGACUGGGAUAACUUCGGGAAACCGUAGCUAAUACCGGAUAAUAUUUUGAACCGCAUGGUUCAAAAGUGAAAGACGGUCUUGCUGUCACUUAUAGAUGGAUCCGCGCUGCAUUAGCUAGUUGGUAAGGUAACGGCUUACCAAGGCAACGAUGCAUAGCCGACCUGAGAGGGUGAUCAGCCACACUGGAACUGAGACACGGUCCAGACUCCUACGGGAGGCAGCAGUAGGGAAUAUUGCGCAAUGGGCGAAAGCCUGACGGAGCAACGCCGCGUGAGUGAUGAAGGUCUUCGGAUCGUAAAACUCUGUUAUUAGGGAAGAACAUAUGUGUAAGUAACUGUGCACAUCUUGACGGUACCUAAUCAGAAAGCCACGGCUAACUACGUG